GGUGACCUCGAUCAGUAGAUUGCCAU
This 26-nucleotide ribosomal RNA is filed under the name Exophiala sideris. Its description in RNAcentral is "partial 28S ribosomal RNA". The record is from RNAcentral. Lineage: Eukaryota; Fungi; Ascomycota; Eurotiomycetes; Chaetothyriales; Herpotrichiellaceae.